UACGGAGGGUGCGAGCGUUGUCCGGAAUUAUUGGGCGUAAAGAGCUCGUAGGCGGUUUGUCGCGUCCACUGUGAAAACCCGAGGCUUAACCUCGGGCCUGCAGUCGAUACGGGCAGACUAGAGUUCGGUAGGGGAGACUGGAAUUCCUGGUGUAGCGGUGAAAUGCGCAGAUAUCAGGAGGAACACCGGUGGCGAAGGCGGGUCUCUGGGCCGAUACUGACGCUGAGGAGCGAAAGCGUGGGGAGCGAACAGG
RNAcentral lists this ribosomal RNA (253 nucleotides) under uncultured bacterium. RNAcentral describes it as "partial 16S ribosomal RNA". It matches the Rfam family "Bacterial small subunit ribosomal RNA", at positions 524 to 776 of the family's 1533-position model. The record is from RNAcentral.